ACGAACCGUGCGAACGUUAUUCGGAAUCACUGGGCUUAAAGCGCGUGUAGGCGGGCCGGCACGUCGGUCGCUGAAAUCCCCCGGCUCAACCGGGGAAGGGGCGCCGAAACGACCGGCCUGGAGGGGGGUAGGGGGCGCCGGAACUCACGGUGGAGCGGUGAAAUGCGUUGAGAUCGUGAGGAACGCCCGUGGCGAAAGCGGGCGCCUGGACCCCGCCUGACGCUGAGACGCGAAAGCCAGGGGAGCGAACGGGA
Molecule: ribosomal RNA, 254 nt
Filed under: uncultured prokaryote
Description: partial 16S ribosomal RNA
Rfam family: Bacterial small subunit ribosomal RNA
Source: RNAcentral